RNAcentral lists this ribosomal RNA (257 nucleotides) under uncultured Glomeromycotina. Its description in RNAcentral is "partial 18S ribosomal RNA". It matches the Rfam family "Eukaryotic small subunit ribosomal RNA", at positions 624 to 886 of the family's 1831-position model. The record is from RNAcentral. Lineage: Eukaryota; Fungi; Glomeromycota.
AAGCUCGUAGUUGAAUUUCGGGAUUAAUUUAUUGGUCGUGCAAUCGUACGUACUGGUAUUAUUGAUUCCUACCUUCUGACGAACCAUGAUGUCAUUAAUUUGGUGUCGUGGGGAAUCAGGACUGUUACUUUGAAAAAAUUAGAGUGUUUAAAGCAGGCUCACGCUUGAAUACAUUAGCAUGGAAUAACGAAAUAGGACGUUUGAUUCUAUUUUGUUGGUUUCUAGGAUCGACGUAAUGAUUAAUAGGGAUAGUUGGG